AACUGCCCGAUGGAGGGGGAUAACUNCUGNAAACGGUAGCUAAUACCGCAUAACGUCUACGGACCANAGUGGGGGACCUUCGGGCCUCACACCAUCGGAUGUGCCCAGAUGGGAUUAGCUAGUAGGUGGGGUAAUGGCUCACCUAGGCGACGAUCCCUAGCUGGUCUGAGAGGAUGACCAGCCACACUGGAACUGAGACACGGUCCAGACUCCUACGGGAGGCAGCAGUGGGGAAUAUUGCACAAUGGGCGCAAGCCUGAUGCAGCCAUGCCGCGUGUAUGAAGAAGGCCUUCGGGUUGUAAAGUACUUUCAGUGGGGAGGAAGGCGAUGAAGUUAAUAGCUUCGUCGAUUGACGUUACCCGCANAAGAAGCACCGGCUAACUCCGUGCCAGCAGCCGCGGUAAUACGGAGGGUGCAAGCGUUAAUCGGAAUUACUGGGCGUAAAGCGCACGCAGGCGGUCUGUCAAGUCGGAUGUGAAAUCCCCGGGCUCNACCUGNNAACUGCAUUCGAAACUGGCAGACUANAGUCUUGUANAGGGGGGUAGAAUUCCAGGUGUANCGNUGAAAUGCGUANAGAUCUGGAGGAAUACNGGUGGCGA
RNAcentral lists this ribosomal RNA (599 nucleotides) under Flavobacterium sp. 75_c_1. RNAcentral describes it as "partial 16S ribosomal RNA". It matches the Rfam family "Bacterial small subunit ribosomal RNA", at positions 124 to 718 of the family's 1533-position model. The record is from RNAcentral. Lineage: Bacteria; Pseudomonadati; Bacteroidota; Flavobacteriia; Flavobacteriales; Flavobacteriaceae.